This 73-nucleotide transfer RNA is filed under the name Felis catus (domestic cat). Lineage: Eukaryota; Metazoa; Chordata; Mammalia; Carnivora; Felidae. The record is from Rfam by way of RNAcentral.
GCCUGGCUGGCUCAGUCACAGGAGCAUGUGACUCUUGAUCUCAGGGUUGUGAGUUUGAGCCCCACGUUGGGUG